Long non-coding RNA from Oncorhynchus nerka (sockeye salmon), 1073 nucleotides. RefSeq lists it as uncharacterized. NCBI's taxonomy places the organism in Eukaryota, Metazoa, Chordata, Actinopteri, Salmoniformes, Salmonidae. The transcript is spliced from 3 exons. The record is from RefSeq and is a predicted model, not a curated record.
GGUGACACUGCUGUCGGGAUACUGAACCUGGGAUCGUGGUGACACUGCUAUCGGGAUACUGAACCUGGGAUCGUGGUGACACUAGGUGUUCACUGCUAUCGGGAUACUGAACCUGGGAUCGUGGUAACGUUAGUGUUCACUGCUAUCGGGAUACUGAACCUGGGAUCGUGGUGACACUAGUGUUCACUGCUACGGUCUUCUAAAGUGGGGUUCUAGAGAGCGGGUAUAUCUCGUGUGUGUGUGGCUCAGUUGGUAGACCAUGGCACUUGGCAAUACCAGGGCUGUGGGUUCAGUACUCCAAUACCAGGGCUGUGGGUUCAGUACUGCAAUACCAGGGCUGUGGGUUCAGUACUCCAAUACCAGGGCUGUGGGUUCAGUACUCCAAUACCAGGGCUGUGGGUUCAGUUUCCGCUGGUGUCACCAGUACUGGGGAGGAAAAAAUAAUGUAAGCAUCAAUUAUUAUAUAUUUUUCUUUUGUAUGUUUACUCCACGUGUAACUCUGUGUUGAACUGCUUUGCUUUAUCUUGGCCAGGUCGCAGUUGCAAAUGAGAACUUGUUCUCAACUGGCCUACCUGGUUAAAUAAAAAUAGUGAGGUGAUUUGAAUAAAUGGAUCUGCUAAAUGGCAUGUGUCUGAGUGUACAGUGGUCUGGUCUUUCUCUGCUAAAUGGCAUGUAUCUGAGUGUACAGUGGUCUGGUCUUUCUCUGCUAAAUGGCAUGUAUCUGAGUGUACAGUGGUCUGGUCUUUCUCUGGUUCCUGUAGAAACUUGGAGGUAAACCCAGGAUGGAUAUGGAGCAAAUCAUUGAAUGAUAUCAGGCGGUUCCCGUCGCCUACGCAAGUGGUGCGCCAGGUUUCUGAGGGUGGCAUGGAGCUGAGCCCCGGCGCCGUGAGCCAAGACCAGCUGCAGAUGGUCAGAGCCCGGGUCCACGAGAGUGAGGCCAAGUGGCACAACGACCUGACCGAGUGGAAGCUCCGGCGGCACAGGUCUACCUGUGACCUGCGGAGGAAGAUGCAGGAGAGGGAUAACAUCGUCCUGAUGGCCAACGCAGGGCGGGUACAGUCGGGACGUUCAAG